CGGACGGGUGAGUAACGCGUGGGUAACCUGCCUCAUACAGGGGGAUAACAGUUAGAAAUGACUGCUAAUACCGCAUAAGCGCACGGUCUCGCAUGGGACGGUGUGAAAAACUCCGGUGGUAUGAGAUGGACCCGCGUCUGAUUAGCUGGUUGGCGAGGUAAGGGCUCACCAAGGCGACGAUCAGUAGCCGGCCUGAGAGGGUGAACGGCCACAUUGGGACUGAGACACGGCCCAAACUCCUACGGAAGGCAGCAG
This 255-nucleotide ribosomal RNA is filed under the name uncultured bacterium. RNAcentral describes it as "partial 16S ribosomal RNA". It matches the Rfam family "Bacterial small subunit ribosomal RNA", at positions 99 to 354 of the family's 1533-position model. The record is from RNAcentral.